AGGAUAAUAGUUAAUUAUAACAUUUGAUUUGCAUUCAAAAGGUGUUGAUUAUUCAACUUGUCUUA
RNAcentral lists this transfer RNA (65 nucleotides) under Brachythemis contaminata. RNAcentral describes it as "tRNA-Ala". It matches the Rfam family "tRNA". Rfam says of the family: Transfer RNA (tRNA) molecules are approximately 80 nucleotides in length. Their secondary structure includes four short double-helical elements and three loops (D, anti-codon, and T loops). Lineage: Eukaryota; Metazoa; Arthropoda; Insecta; Odonata; Libellulidae. The record is from RNAcentral.